GAUGAACGCUAGCGGCAGGCUUAACACAUGCAAGUCGAGGGGUAUUGGUUUUCGGACCAAGAGACCGGCGCACGGGUGCGUAACGCGUAUGCAAUCUACCUUUCACAGAGGGAUAGCCCCAGAGAAAUUUGGAUUAAUACCUCAUAGUAUAGCAGUUUCGCAUGAAACCACUAUUAAAGUUCCAACGGUGAAAGAUGAGCAUGCGUCCCAUUAGCUAGAUGGUAAGGUAACGGCUUACCAAGACAAUGAUGGGUAGGGGUCCUGAGAGGGAGAUCCCCCACACUGGUACUGAGACACGGACCAGACUCCUACGGGAGGCAGCAGUGAGGAAUAUUGGUCAAUGGGCGCAAGCCUGAACCAGCCAUGCCGCCGUGCAGGAAGACGGUCCGUAUGGAUUGUAAACUGCUUUAUACAGGAGAAACCCUCCCACGUGUGGGAGCUUGACGGUACUG
Molecule: ribosomal RNA, 452 nt
Filed under: uncultured bacterium
Lineage: Bacteria
Description: bacterial SSU rRNA
Rfam family: Bacterial small subunit ribosomal RNA
Source: RNAcentral